AAUAAGGAGAGCGAGACAAAAGACCAAAUCUUCAGUAAAAUCGAGUAGAUUGGAGAAUCCGUUUAUUUUCCCCACUUAAAGAAAGCCAGUGCCACUUUUAUAAACUUUGCCUCAACAAUUAUUUUUUCAAAGACUUUCAGAGGAACAUUGCCUGCUCAUUUCUCAGCUUCCAAAAAUUGUCCAAUUUAGCUUUUAGCAGUUAACUAUCCCCAUUUCCUGGGAAGCGAGUUCUGGUAGCGAGAACCACUAAUGGGUAAGUUAAUUGUUGUCUCUUUAAGAAGCACUCUCUCUUCAUCCCCUCAUUUUCUGUCUCUGUUGUGAUUUCAGUAUUUAAGUUCCAAAUUCAAACAUAAGAAUGAGAUCAACGUGUUACAUCACAAUUUAUCAAUGAAUGCCAUAUCAAAAGAUUAUGUUAAUGGGAAUAAACUGGUUAUUAGAGUUACCUAAUUGGUCAUACAUUAGUAAUAUUGUCUAGAGGAAACUCAUUUUAUUUGCCAAGAUCACCUUGCUACCAUAUACAAGUUUGAAAAAGACAUAUGAAAAAGUCAUGGCUCAGAAAGUUUAUGUGAACUGCAAACAAACAUUACAGUUUUAUGUUUGUUGGUGCACAAAUACAAAGAAACAAGAUUUUCUUCCUAACUGACCAUCAGAUUUCUCCACAUCAGAUUUCUCCAGUGGGUUUCAGCAGUUCCCAGCUAAUCCUAACUUCAUAAUUCCUUUUUUAAAAGUUUGCUAAUUGUUCAACUUCCUGAUUUGAUAGAAACUUCCCUCUUUAAUAGAAACAGAACUUGCCGGCCUUCAGUCGUUCUGAACUCUGCCUGAGUCAGGAUCUGGGUUUUUUUUGCAGAAACUACAAAAUGGAGAAACAUUUUUUCCUAUGAGAGCAUGCAGACAUUGAGAUGACAGGUCUGCACUGGCAUCCCGGUACUCCAUAAUUCGGGGACUGAAGACAGGGCUUCGCUGCAGCGCAGCCAUGGCUGACAAGCUGUUAUUUCUGCCCUGGGGAACACCAGAACCACCAAAGGCCUGGAGGAAAGGUCUCUCUCCCACCCAGCCCACGUGCUGCUUGUCUCACAUGUCUCUUGCCUGUGGCUUUAGAAGUGUCAUCCAUCGAGGAGUGUAUCUUCAGCAUGGUGAAAAAGCCCACACUUGAUACAGCAAACACUGGCAGAAGCUCUGGAGCCAAAGACGAAUCUGUGGCAUGACCGAAGAAUUUCUUCUCUGCAGUGGGAUGAGGCGUCAUGUGAAUUACCUCAGCUGGAGCUGUUCAAGGAUUUAGCUCCAGAGAAAGGUAGGCAGCUCGCUCUGCUGUGUGGGAAUGAUAGGCAGGCAAACAACAGAUCUGCCCAGUCCAGCUGGACUUGCUCAAAACAAAAUAGGUGAGACCCUGCCCAUCACUCAGAGGCUGAGCCUUAAGGCGAGUAAGUGAAUUACAGUGGAGGUAAAAGGGAAGGGA
Molecule: long non-coding RNA, 1456 nt
Filed under: Struthio camelus australis
Lineage: Eukaryota; Metazoa; Chordata; Aves; Struthioniformes; Struthionidae
Description: lncRNA (ENSSCUG00000007759.1)
Source: RNAcentral